This 440-nucleotide ribosomal RNA is filed under the name uncultured bacterium. Its description in RNAcentral is "partial 16S ribosomal RNA". It matches the Rfam family "Bacterial small subunit ribosomal RNA", at positions 338 to 795 of the family's 1533-position model. The record is from RNAcentral.
CCUACGGGUGGCAGCAGUGGGGAAUAUUGCACAAUGGGGGAAACCCUGAUGCAGCGACGCCGCGUGAGUGAUGAAGUAUUUCGGUAUGUAAAGCUCUAUCAGCAGGGAAGAUAAUGACGGUACCUGACUAAGAAGCUCCGGCUCAAUACGUGCCAGCAGCCGCGGUAAUACGUAUGGAGCAAGCGUUAUCCGGAUUUACUGGGUGUAAAGGGAGCGCAGACGGUGAGACAAGUCUGAAGUGAAAGCCCGGGGCUCAACUCCGGGACUGCUUUGGAAACUGCCUGACUGGAGUGCUGGAGAGGCAAGCGGAAUUCCUAGUGUAGCGGUGAAAUGCGUAGAUAUGAGGAAGAACACCAGUGGCGAAGGCGGCUUGCUGGACAGUAACUGACGUUGAGGCUCGAAAGCGUGGGGAGCAAACAGGAUUAGAUACCCCAGUAGUC